This 463-nucleotide ribosomal RNA is filed under the name uncultured bacterium. RNAcentral describes it as "bacterial SSU rRNA". It matches the Rfam family "Bacterial small subunit ribosomal RNA", at positions 1 to 494 of the family's 1533-position model. The record is from RNAcentral.
GAUUAGAGUUUGAUCCUGGCUCAGAACGAACGCUGGCGGCAUGCUUAACACAUGCAAGUCGAACGAGACCUUCGGGUCUAGUGGCGCACGGGUGCGUAACGCGUGGGAAUCUGCCCUUUGCUACGGAAUAACUCAGAGAAAUUUGUGCUAAUACCGUAUAAUGUCGUAAGACCAAAGAUUUAUCGGCAAAGGAUGAGCCCGCGUAAGAUUAGCUUGUUGGUGAGGUAAAGGCUCACCAAGGCGACGAUCUUUAGCUGGUCUGAGAGGAUGAUCAGCCACACUGGGACUGAGACACGGUCCAGACUCCUACGGGAGGCAGCAGUAGGGAAUAUUGGACAAUGGGCGAAAGCCUGAUCCAGCCAUGCCGCGUGAUAGAUGAAGGCCCUCUGGGUUGUAAAUAUCUUUUAUCUGGGAAGAAACAAUCUUAUUCUUAAGAUCUUGACGGUACCAGAGGAAUAGCCCC